RNAcentral lists this ribosomal RNA (475 nucleotides) under uncultured organism. RNAcentral describes it as "partial 16S ribosomal RNA". It matches the Rfam family "Bacterial small subunit ribosomal RNA", at positions 334 to 800 of the family's 1533-position model. The record is from RNAcentral.
CACUCCUACGGGAGGCAGCAGUGGGGAAUUUUGGACAAUGGGCGAAAGCCUGAUCCAGCAAUGCCGCGUGAGUGAAGAAGGCCUUCGGGUUGUAAAGCUCUUUUGUCAGGGAAGAAACGGUGAGAGCUAAUAUCUCUUGCUAAUGACGGUACCUGAAGAAUAAGCACCGGCUAACUACGUGCCAGCAGCCGCGGUAAUACGUAGGGUGCAAGCGUUAAUCGGAAUUACUGGGCGUAAAGCGUGCGCAGGCGGUUUUGUAAGUCUGAUGUGAAAUCCCCGGGCUCAACCUGGGAAUUGCAUUGGAGACUGCAAGGCUAGAAUCUGGCAGAGGGGGGUAGAAUUCCACGUGUAGCAGUGAAAUGCGUAGAUAUGUGGAGGAACACCGAUGGCGAAGGCAGCCCCCUGGGUCAAGAUUGACGCUCAUGCACGAAAGCGUGGGGAGCAAACAGGAUUAGAAACCCUGGUAGUCCCAUGA